Molecule: ribosomal RNA, 244 nt
Filed under: uncultured bacterium
Lineage: Bacteria
Description: partial 16S ribosomal RNA
Rfam family: Bacterial small subunit ribosomal RNA
Source: RNAcentral
UGAGUGUAAGCGAAUCCCAAAAUAAACGUCUCAUUCGGAUUGUAGUCUGCAACUCGACUACAUGAAGCUGGAAUCGCUAGUAAUCGCAGAUCAGAAUGCUGCGGUGAAUACGUUCCCGGGUCUUGUACACACCGCCCGUCACACCAUGGGAGUCGGAAAUGCCCGAAGUCGGUGACCCAACCGUUUAUGGAGGGAGCUGCCGAAGGCAGGUCUGGUGACUGGGGUGAAGUCGUAACAAGGUAGC